RNAcentral lists this long non-coding RNA (202 nucleotides) under Elaeis guineensis (African oil palm). RNAcentral's name for it is "long non-coding RNA (EGUI_LNC077274)". The record is from RNAcentral. Lineage: Eukaryota; Viridiplantae; Streptophyta; Magnoliopsida; Arecales; Arecaceae.
UGUGAUUAUCAUUAGGAGUUAGUUUAAUUUUGAAGGACUACUAUAUGUACCUGUAGCCAGUAGAAAUUUGAUUUUUAUAUCUGUGCUGGUACAGGAUAAUUAUAAUUUUUAUUUCAAUAAAGAUAUUGUUCAAUUUAUUUUGAAAAUAAAGUUGUUGCACGUGCUUUCUUGAUUGAUAGUCUUUAUCAUUUGUAUAUGGAUG